Molecule: ribosomal RNA, 429 nt
Filed under: Chloroflexota bacterium
Lineage: Bacteria; Bacillati; Chloroflexota
Description: Chloroflexi bacterium partial 16S ribosomal RNA
Rfam family: Bacterial small subunit ribosomal RNA
Source: RNAcentral
UGGGGAAUAUUGCACAAUGGGCGCAAGCCUGAUGCAGCCAUGCCGCGUGUAUGAAGAAGGCCUUCGGGUUGUAAAGUACUUUCAGCGGGGAGGAAGGGAGUAAAGUUAAUACCUUUGCUCAUUGACGUUACCCGCAGAAGAAGCACCGGCUAACUCCGUGCCAGCAGCCGCGGUAAUACGGAGGGUGCAAGCGUUAAUCGGAAUUACUGGGCGUAAAGCGCACGCAGGCGGUUUGUUAAGUCAGAUGUGAAAUCCCCGGGCUCAACCUGUGAACUGCAUCUGAUACUGGCAAGCUUGAGUCUCGUAGAGGGGGGUAGAAUUCCAGGUGUAGCGGUGAAAUGCGUAGCGAUCUGGAGGAAUACCGGUGGCGAAGGCGGCCCCCUGGACGAAGACUGACGCUCAGGUGCGAAAGCGUGGGGAGCAAACAGG